CCUACGGGAGGCAGCAGUGGGGAAUAUUGCACAAUGUGGGAAACCCUGAUGCAGCGACGCCGCGUGAGUGAAGAAGUAUUUCGGUAUGUAAAGCUCUAUCAGCAGGGAAGAAAUAGCGACCUUUGGGUCGCCAGACGGUACCUGAUUAAGACACCCCGGCUAACUACGUGCCAGCAGCCGCGGUAAUACGUAGGGGGCAGGCGUUAUCCGGAUUUACGGGGUGUAAAGGGAGAGUAGACGGCAGCGCAAGUCUGAACUGAAUUGCCGGGGCUUAACCCCGGAACUGCUUUGGAAUCUGUGCAGCUAGAGUGCAGUAGAGGUAAGUGGAAUUCCUAGUGUAGCGGUG
This 346-nucleotide ribosomal RNA is filed under the name uncultured bacterium. RNAcentral's name for it is "partial 16S ribosomal RNA". It matches the Rfam family "Bacterial small subunit ribosomal RNA", at positions 338 to 683 of the family's 1533-position model. The record is from RNAcentral.